UCGGACAGAAGCACAUUUUUUUCUACUCCACUUUUGCUCAAAUGUUCCCUUUUCCUUUCUUUCUCUUGUUUGCUUUUUUAAUAGUAUCGAUAAUAAAGAAAGGGGUCACUAAGAAGCACCCUUUCCUCCCCCCUGAUCCUCUUACCUGAGCUUGCUGCCUCCUGGGAACAGGGUCAAAGACUGUUGAUAGUGGUGAGAAGUGGCCAGUCCUUCACAAGACAGGGCUGUACUGGAUCUUGUAAUUGAUGACAGGGCCAUGGAAGGAAAGCACAGCCUGGAGGACUCAAAGAGAAGUGGUCAUCUCAUAACCUUGAGGAUGGAAGCUGCAUGCUGAGGAUGGUGGAGCAGAAAGGUAGAAGGAGACUGUAUCCUUAAUGACUUCAUAGAACUGUCCACAUCUGGAGUUCCUUUGCAAAAGAGAAAACCCGAAUAGGAUCUGGAUCCAACUUCACUUUAUCUGUUUCAUAUUUUGUUCAAGAGUUUUCAAUCUAAUUGUAUUGUGUAUGAAAGUGGAAGCUUUGAUGGAGUCAUCAAGAUAGAAUGUGCAGGAGUGUGAGAAGAUUCACCAGAGACAGAGCAGGAACAGAACAGGCAGACUGAUGAAAUAUACUGCUGAGGGGAGCAGCAGACGAGACAGGAGAGGUCUGUGGUGUCAUGUGGGACCCUCGCCAAUGGGCCAGAAUCGAACCUGUGCUGCAGAGGCUGCGGACAGCUUCACAGUGCAGCACUCAA
This is a long non-coding RNA of Talpa occidentalis (Iberian mole), 732 nucleotides long. RefSeq lists it as uncharacterized. The transcript has 4 exons. Lineage: Eukaryota; Metazoa; Chordata; Mammalia; Eulipotyphla; Talpidae. The record is from RefSeq and is a predicted model, not a curated record.